AUACGGAGGAUGCGAGCGUUAUCCGGAUUUAUUGGGUUUAAAGGGUGCGUAGGCUGUGCGUUAAGUCAGGGGUGAAAUGCCGCCGCUCAACGACGGAGCUGCCCUUGAUACUGGCGUGCUGGAGUACGGAUGCCGUUGGAGGAAUGAGUGGUGUAGCGGUGAAAUGCUUAGAUAUCACUCAGAACACCGAUUGCGAAGGCACCUGACGAAUCCGCCACUGACGCUGAGGCACGAAAGCGUGGGGAUAGAACAGGAUUAGAUACCCUGGUAUGCCACGCCGUAAACGAUGAUGACUAACCGUCGGCGAUAGACAGCCGGUGGCCAAGCGAAAGCGAUAAGUCAUCCACCUGGGGAGUACGUCGGCAACGAUGAAACUCAAAUGAAUUGGCGGGG
This 393-nucleotide ribosomal RNA is filed under the name uncultured bacterium. Its description in RNAcentral is "partial 16S ribosomal RNA". It matches the Rfam family "Bacterial small subunit ribosomal RNA", at positions 523 to 918 of the family's 1533-position model. The record is from RNAcentral.